CCUAAAAUCAAGCCUAACCCAAACCAAUGUAAACUACACCCAAUUUCCUCUAAACAAAACAUUUAACCAGUCUAGUAGAGGCGAUCAAAAAACUUAUUAGCGCUUUACCACAAGUACCGCAAGGGAAAAAUGAAAUAGUUUUGAAAUAGUUUUAAAGCAAAACACAGCAGAGCUAAAUACUCGUACCUUUUGCAUCAUGGUUUAGCUAGUUCCUAGCAAGCGAAACGAAACAUCAGUUUGCCCCCCCGAAACUAGGCGAGCUACUUCAAAAUAGUUUAUAGAACAAACCCGUCUCUGUUGCAAAAGAGUGGGAUGAUUUUCAAGUAGUGGUGAAAGACCUACCGAGCCUAGAGAUAGCUGGUUAUUCAGGAAAAGAAUUUUAGUUCUGCCCUAAGUUCUCCCAUUACCACAAUAAACACCUUGAACUUAAGAGUUAGUCAAAUAAGGCACAGCUUAUUUGAUAAAGGAUACAACCUACAAAAAAGGGUAAAACCUACCAUACUAACUAAGUAGGCCUGAAAGCAGCCACCUUUAAGAAAGCGUUACAGCUCUAUUAAUCUUAACGAUAAAUGUCAAAAAAUAUUUUCAACCCUUUAUUACUACUGAAUAGUCCUAUAAUUUUAUAGAAAUACUAAUGCUAAAACUAGUAACAAGAAAUAGAAUUUCUCCAAAAUACAAGUAUAAGCCAAAAUGGACCGACCAUUGGCAGUUAACGUUAAUGAGCCAAAUAUAGCAACCCCUCAAGAAAACACUAUAAUUUUUACCGUUAAUCUUACACAAGUAUAUUCCCGGAAAGAUUAAAAGAAAAGGAAGGAACUCGGCAAACCUUAGCCCCGCCUGUUUACCAAAAACAUCGCCUCUUGUUCAACUAUAAGAGGUCUAGCCUGCCCAGUGACACAGUUAAACGGCCGCGGUACCCUGACCGUGCGAAGGUAGCAUAAUCACUUGUUCUUUAAAUAAGGACUCGUAUCAACGGCAUCACGAGGGCUAUACUGUCUCCCCUCUCUAAUCAGUGAAACUGACUUCCCCGUGAAGAGGCGGGGAUAAAUCUACAAGACGAGAAGACCCCAUGGAGCUUUAAACCCAAUAACAACCUCUACUUAAAUUUAUCUUAAAAAUCAAGAAGUACUGUUUAUUGGUUUUAGGUUGGGGUGACCACGGAGUAUAAUUAAACCUCCACGACGAACGGUAUAUCCUAAUCCAAGAGUUACCACUCUAAGAAUCAACAAUUUGACGUAAUAUGAUCCGACAACCGAUCAACGAACCAAGUUACCCUGGGGAUAACAGCGCAAUCCAUUUUAAGAGCCCCUAUCGACAAAUGGGUUUACGACCUCGAUGUUGGAUCAGGGUAUCCCAGUGGUGCAGCCGCUACUAAAGGUUUGUUUGUUCAACAAUUAAAAC
This 1401-nucleotide ribosomal RNA is filed under the name Limnonectes kuhlii (Kuhl's wart frog). RNAcentral's name for it is "partial 16S rRNA". It matches the Rfam family "Bacterial large subunit ribosomal RNA", at positions 268 to 2594 of the family's 2925-position model. The record is from RNAcentral. Lineage: Eukaryota; Metazoa; Chordata; Amphibia; Anura; Dicroglossidae.